GACGAACGCUGGCGGCGUGCCUAAUACAUGCAAGUCGAACGCUUCCUACCGGUGCUUGCACCGGGAAAGAAGAGUGGCGGACGGGUGAGUAACACGUGGGUAACCUACCUACAAGCGGGGGAUAACAUUCGGAAACGGAUGCUAAUACCGCAUAGAUCUUUUUGUCUCCUGACAGAAAGAAGAAAGACGGUUUCGGCUGUCACAUGUAGAUGGACCCGCGGCGCAUUAGUUAGUUGGUGAGGUAAUGGCUCACGAAGACGAUGAUGUGUAGCCGGCCUGAGAGGGUGAUCGGCGACACUGGGAAUGAGACACGGCCCAGACUCCUACGGGAGGCAGCAGUAGGGAAUCUUCCGCAAUGGACGAAAGUCUGACGGAGCAACGCCGCGUGAGUGAAGAAGGUUUUCGGAUCGUAAACCUCUGUUGUUAGAGAAGAACAAGGAUGAGAGUAACUGCUCGUCCCUUGACGGUAUCUAACCAGAAAGCCAUGGCUAACUACGUGCCAGCCGCCGCGGUAA
Molecule: ribosomal RNA, 515 nt
Filed under: uncultured bacterium
Lineage: Bacteria
Description: partial 16S ribosomal RNA
Rfam family: Bacterial small subunit ribosomal RNA
Source: RNAcentral